Molecule: ribosomal RNA, 370 nt
Filed under: Calappa sp. DBS 020
Lineage: Eukaryota; Metazoa; Arthropoda; Malacostraca; Decapoda; Calappidae
Description: partial large subunit ribosomal RNA
Rfam family: Archaeal large subunit ribosomal RNA
Source: RNAcentral
CUGACCGUGCAAAGGUAGCAUAAUCAUUAGUUUUUUAAUUGAAAACUAGAAUGAAUGGUUCGACAAAGGAAAGACUGUCUCUGUGUUAUGAAUAGAAUUUAACUUUUAAGUGAAAAGGCUUAAGUGUUUCAGAGGGACGAUAAGACCCUAUAAAGCUUUAUAUGCUGUUUAGAUUUAGUUAAAUUAUAAUCUCCAAAGAUUAAAUUUAAACUAGUUUAUUUUGUUGGGGCGACAAAGAUGUAAAUUUAAGUAACUGUUGUUUGUGAAGGAACAAAAAUGAUUGAGUUAGUCGUAAAAGAUCCUUAUUAAAGAUUAGAAGAAUAAGUUACUUUAGGGAUAACAGCGUAAUUUCUUUUGAGAGUUCAUAUCG